This 280-nucleotide ribosomal RNA is filed under the name uncultured bacterium. Its description in RNAcentral is "partial 16S ribosomal RNA". It matches the Rfam family "Bacterial small subunit ribosomal RNA", at positions 524 to 796 of the family's 1533-position model. The record is from RNAcentral.
UACGUAGGUGGCAAGCGUUAUCCGGAAUUAUUGGGCGUAAAGCGCGCGUAGGCGGUUUUUUUUUAAGUCUGAUGUGAAAGCCCCACGGCUCAACCGUGGAGGGGUCAUUGGAAAACUGGAAAAACUUGAGUGCAGAAGAGGAAAGUGGAAUUCCAUGUGUAGCGGUGAAAUGCGCAGAGAUAUGGAGGAACACCAGUGGCGAAGGCGACUUUCUGGUCUGUAACUGACGCUGAUGUGCGAAAGCGUGGGGAUCAAACAGGAUUAGAUACCCCGGUAGUCC